UACGUAGGGGGCUAGCGUUGUCCGGAAUCAUUGGGCGUAAAGAGCGUGUAGGCGGUCCGGUAAGUCCGCUGUGAAAGUCGGGGGCUCAACCCUCGAAUGCCGGUGGAUACUGUCGGGCUAGAGUGCGGAAGAGGCGAGUGGAAUUCCACGUGUAGCGGUGAAAUGCGUAGAGAUGUGGAGGAACACCAGUGGCGAAGGCGACUCUCUGGUCUGUAACUGACGCUGAGGAGCGAAAGCGUGGGGAGCAAACAGG
RNAcentral lists this ribosomal RNA (253 nucleotides) under uncultured bacterium. RNAcentral's name for it is "partial 16S ribosomal RNA". It matches the Rfam family "Bacterial small subunit ribosomal RNA", at positions 524 to 776 of the family's 1533-position model. The record is from RNAcentral.